Non-coding RNA from Camellia sinensis, 240 nucleotides. NCBI's taxonomy places the organism in Eukaryota, Viridiplantae, Streptophyta, Magnoliopsida, Ericales, Theaceae. The record is from RefSeq and is a predicted model, not a curated record.
CUAUAGAUUAUAGAUGCCAAAUUCUAAUCUUUGCAAGACUUGAAUUAUGUGCUCUUCUCAUUAUCUGGUUUCUUUGCAGAUUGCCCCUUAUGAUCAGUUGCAAACGAUAGAGCGCUUAGUUGAUGUUCCUCAACCUACUCCUGCCUAGGCAUAAUUAAAUGAAAAUUGGAUGGUGAUUAUAUUUUGAACAUUCUUAAUACAUACCAAAUGCGCACUAAAAAGAUCAUUAAGUGUCUUUAA